AAAUUGAAGAGUUUGAUCAUGGCUCAGAUUGAACGCUGGCGGCAGGCCUAACACAUGCAAGUCGAACGGUAACAGGAAGCAGCUUGCUGCUUUGCUGACGAGUGGCGGACGGGUGAGUAAUGUCUGGGAAACUGCCUGAUGGAGGGGGAUAACUACUGGAAACGGUGGCUAAUACCGCAUAACGUCGCAAGACCAAAGAGGGGGACCUUCGGGCCUCUUGCCAUCAGAUGUGCCCAGAUGGGAUUAGCUUGUUGGUGGGGUAACGGCCCACCAAGGCGACGAUCCCUAGCUGGUCUGAGAGGAUGACCAGCCACACUGGAACUGAGACACGGUCCAGACUCCUACGGGAGGCAGCAGUGGGGAAUAUUGCACAAUGGGCGCAAGCCUGAUGCAGCCAUGCCGCGUGUAUGAAGAAGGCCUUCGGGUUGUAAAGUACUUUCAGCGGGGAGGAAGGUG
RNAcentral lists this ribosomal RNA (456 nucleotides) under Salmonella enterica. RNAcentral describes it as "bacterial SSU rRNA". It matches the Rfam family "Bacterial small subunit ribosomal RNA", at positions 1 to 453 of the family's 1533-position model. The record is from RNAcentral. Lineage: Bacteria; Pseudomonadati; Pseudomonadota; Gammaproteobacteria; Enterobacterales; Enterobacteriaceae.